ACCGGCAGCUAGCUCUCUGCUACUCUCACAUGGUCGUCCAACUGAAGCUAAGCAGGGCUGAGCCUGGUCAGUACCUGGAUGGGAGACCACAUGGGAAAGUUAGGUUGCUGCUGGAA
Ribosomal RNA from Danio rerio (zebrafish), 116 nucleotides. The record is from Ensembl. NCBI's taxonomy places the organism in Eukaryota, Metazoa, Chordata, Actinopteri, Cypriniformes, Danionidae.